RNAcentral lists this ribosomal RNA (99 nucleotides) under vertebrate environmental sample. RNAcentral describes it as "partial 12S ribosomal RNA". The record is from RNAcentral. Lineage: Eukaryota; Metazoa; Chordata.
CUAGCCAUAAACCUAAAUAGUUCCAACGACAAAACUAUUCGCCAGAGGACUACUAGCAAUAGCUAAAAACUCAAAGGACUUGGCGGUGCUUUAUACCCC